GGGGCGUUGCUGGGAAACAUCUGCCGACGCCUGCGGACCGGCCGACAUGGCGNNNNNNNGGCGGCCUUCCUGCUCCUCGCGGCCCAGGUGAGGCUGCGUCGGCCCCGCCGGCCCCGCCGGUUGCGGCACCCGGGCCCUCUGCCCCAGCCCCGCGCAAGCCCCGACUGGCCUGGCCUGGGGGCCCGCCUCGGGUUUGCGCGCCUCCAGCGCGGCUGGCCCCCAGGCCCGGAGCUCGGCCGUGACCUUGCGGGCCUGUCCCCGGCCAGCCUCUCUUUCCUGCCUUGGAGCCUUCCCCAGCUGCAGCGUCACUCAGCUGUGCCGGGGUCUGAAGUUUGGGAAUUCCCUUACCUCCUCAGGCCCUGCUCUGUCUCGAGGUCUCCAACCGCCGCCGGGGGCGCCGCUGCCUGGCCCCGUGGCCUUGGGCAGGGGGCUGCCCCUCCCCGAGCCUCAGUUUCCCCUUGCGCGCGUUGUUAGCGCCCACCCCCGUGGUUGCGGUGAGCCGUCCAACGCGGCACCCAGUGCCUGACUGUGUCCGGGAGCGGCAAGGGGCCCAUCCUGGGAGUGGGGUCGAAUCGCCGCCCUGCAUUUUGUCCCGUGACCUUGGGCAAGGGAGGUCCCCUCUUUGGCCGUCUGUUGCGCUUCUGCAAAAGGAAGAGAGGAGCACAGCGAGGACUGAGCGGGAUGAUGCAUGGGGUGAUUUACGUGCGGCGUGCAUCUUCUUGGGCACUUAAGUGAAGGGUCUCCCCGGGGAGUGGGGGACCUGCCAUGAGCCGGCUAUGUACGUUAUCAUAAGCGCCUUUUUUAUUUUCAAGUCCUCUCUCCCCUGGGUUAUGCAGUUCAGGGAAUGGUGUCCCUACAGCCCUGCACCCACAGCCAUUAACCUUGAUGUAUCCACUCCAGCCCACCACCUCCACGUAUCUCCUGGUGGCCAGUGUUCUCUCUGUGGUCACUUUCGUCUCCCACAUUCUCCAAUCCAUCCUGGACACAGCAGGAGUGACCUCUUUGAAAGUGUGUCAAGUCUCGUGGCAUCCAGAUGAGAGCCUUCCCAUGGCUUUCAGUGCAUUUGGGAGGCCUCUGUGGUUUGGCUGCUUGGGAAGAAACUUCCUCUCCUUUUCUAUUUGCGGAGGGCACUCAGUUCUCUGGUCUUCCCCGUUUCCCUGGGAUGCCCCUGGUCAUCCUUGUGGUCUCAGCUUGCUUGUUCUUCCCUCCUCCCCAGAGACGCUCUCUGGGACGCCCCCUCCCCAGCCCCCAGCACUCCUCCCGAUGCUGCUCACUCAUUUCCUCGUCUGAGCAAGCUGAGGGCAGGGACUUUGAGCUCUCCAGACAUUUUGAAGGAGAACAAAGUGAGAAGUGGACAAAGGGCAAUGGGAGCACCAUGGAGAGAGUGACCUGGUUUGCUUGGGGAGGCUUUUCAGAAGCAGAGGCACCUAAAGGGUGUUCUGAAGGGUGGAUAAGAGUUUGCCAGGUCUCUCUCUCUCUCUCUCUCUCUCUCUCACACACACACACACACACACACACACACACACCAAAAAAAAAAAAAAAAAGUCCACGCUCCUGGAUAGGAAGAACAAAUAUUGUUAAAACGUCGCUAACUACUGAAAGCAAUCUACAUAUUCAAUGCAUUACCUAGCACUGAAUGCAUUACCCCAGGAUUGUUCAUGGAGCUAGAACAAACAAUCCUACAAUUUGUACGGAACCAGAAGAGACCCCGAAUAGCCAAUGCAAUCCUAAAAAAGAAAACUAAGGCUGGAGGCAUCACAAUCCCAGACUUCAAGCUGUAUUACAAAGCUGUAGUCAUCAAGACAGUAUGGUACUGGCACAAAAACAGACACUCAGAUCAAUGGAACAGAAUAGAGAACCCAGAUAUGGACCCACAGACGUAUGGCCAACUAACCUUUGAUAAAGCAGGAAAGAAUAUCCAGUGGAAUAAAGACAGUCUCUUCAGCAAGUGGUGCUGGGAAAACUGGACAGCGACAGGCAGAAGAAUGAACCUGGACCACUUUCUUAAACCAGACACAAAAAUAAACUCAACAUGGAUGACAGACCUAAACGUAAGACAGGAAGCCGUCAAAAUCUGAGGAGAAAGCAGGCAAAAACCUCUUUGAUCUUGGCCGCAGCAACUUCUUACUCAACACGUCUCCAGAGGCAAGGGAAACAAAAGCAAAAAUGAACUACUGGGACCUCAUCCAAAUAAAAAGCUUCUGCAUAGCGAAGGAAACAAUCAGGAAAACUGAAAGGCAGCUGACGGAAUGGGAAAAGUAUUUGCAAAUGACAUAUCAGAUAAAGGGUUAGUAUCCAAAAUCUAUAAAGAACUUAUCAAACUCAACACCCAAAAAACAAAUAAUCCAUGGGCAAAAGAGCUGAACAGACACUUCUCCAAAGAAGACAACCAGAUGGCCAACCGACACGUGAAAAAAUGCUCCACAUCACUCAUCAUCAGGGAAAUACAAAUCAAAACCACAAGGAGAUACCACCUCGCGCCUGUCAGAAUGUCUAACAUUAACAGCUCAGGCAACACAGAUGUUGGCGAGGAUGCAGACGAAGAGGAUCUCUUUUGCACUGCUGGUGGGAAACAGCCACUCUGGAAAACAGUCUGGAGCUUCCUCAAAAAACGAAAAAUAGAACUACCCUACAACCCAGCAAUUGCACUACUAGGCAUUUAUCCACGGGAUACAGGUGUGCUGUUUCGAAGGGACACUUGCACCCCUAUGUUUAUAGCAGCCCUAUCAACAAUAGCCAAAGUGUGGAAAGAGCCCAAAUGUUCAUUGACGGAUGAAUGGAUAAAGAAGAUGUGGUAUAAUACAAUGGAGUAUUACUCAGCAAUCAAGAAGAAUGAAAGCUUGCCAUUUGCAACAGUGUGGAUAGAACUAGAGUGUAUUAUGCUAAGGGAAAUUAGUGAGAGAAAGACAAAUAUGUGACUUCACUCGUGGAAGGGAAGCAAAAAUAAUACAAAUACAGGGAGGGGGACAAAAUAUAAGACUUUUUUUUUUUUUAAUGUUUAUUUUUGACAGAGACAGAGACAGAGUAGAAGCGGGGUGGGGCAGAGAGAGAGACACAGGAUCUGAAGCAGGCUCCAGGCUCUGAGCUGUCUGCACAGAGCCUGACGUGGGGCUCGAACUCAAGAACCGCGAGAUCGUGACCUGAGCCGAAGUCAGACGCUUAACCAACUGAGCCACUCAGGCGCCCCAAGAGACUCUUAAAGAUAGAGAACAAACUGAGGGCUGCUGGAGGGGUUGCGGGUGGGGGGAUGCGCUAAAUGGGCAAGGGGCAUUAAGGAGGACACUUGUUGGGAUGAGCACUCAGUGUUAUACGUAGGGGAUGAAUCACUGAAUUCUACUGAAAUCAUUGCACUAUAUGCUAACUAACUUGGAUGCAAAUUAAAAAUAAAUAUAUUAUUUUUAAAAAACGGGGAAAUUAAAAGCCGAAGCAAAUGUGACAAAAUAUUAAAGUGAGUUGAGGGGCGUCUGGGUGGCUCAGUUGGUUAAGCGUCUAGCUUGGGCUCAGGUCAUGAUCUCACAGUUCGUGAGUUCGAGCCCCAUGUCGGGCUCUGUGCUGACAGAGCCUGGAGCCUGUUUCAGAUUCUGUGCCUCCCUCUCUCUCUGCCCCUCCCCUGCUCACACUCUGUCUCUCUUUCAAAAAUAAACAAUAAAAAAAUACAGUGAGCUGAGCUGAGUACGUAUUUCAUACUAUCUCAUAAUAUAGUUAUUUUAUAAUAAAAAUAAAAAUUGUAGUAAGUAAAUAAUACAAAAUUAAGUAAAUAACUUCACAUUAAAAAAAAAAAGUUUGCUAGGUCUCAAGGCAGAGGGAGGGUGUUGCCGGUGAUGGGAGGAGCUUGAACAGGGGUGGAGGUGUGAGAGCUGAUAUUUUAUUUUGAGAAGGUGAAGAGGCCACUUUGGCGUGUAGGAUGAUAUCAUGCUCACGCCCUGAGAAAGACGACACCCCCAAGGAGGCCCUUCGGAUGCACUUGAAGGAGGCUCGCGGGAGGGCAGGGGGAGGGGCAGCGGUGGGCGUGGCUGGCGGCCGAGGGUAAAGGGCAGGCUUCGCCGCGGCCUCCUGGGCGGACCGAGGAGGGCAGUGCUCCCGGUGCUGGGGCGUUCGGGCUCUCUCCCGGGCGGGACCUCGACCUGCGCGCCAGCCGCGGAGAGCCUUGUGCGUGCCCUUCGCGGAACACGGCCCGGUCGGGUCUGUUGGCCGUGAGACGGGGCAGACGGCCCUUGGGCGUGCGGGUGUGGCUCUCUCUAGAAGUUUGGGUCCUGCUGCCUGGGAAGAAGACUAGCUUUCCACCGGGUAGGAGGCUGCUUGCCGACAGCCCUGAAUUCAUUUGCUACCAUUUUGUGACCCUGGCUGGGGGAUUCCCCAGAUAGACACAUCUCCCCCAGUGGCUACCGGAAGUGUACUGUCAAGGCCAGUAACAGACCCGGAGCAAAGUUGGUUCCCUCCCCGCCCCGGUACUCCCUUCCCCCUCCUCCACCUGUCUCCCCUCCUCUACUGGCCCCCCCUCCCCACCUGUCCCCUCUGCUCCUCCUGCACCUGUCUUCCUCUCCUCUAUCAGCCCAGGCCCUCCUCCACCUGUCCCCUCUUCUCCACCUGUCUUCACUCCUCCUCCANNNNNNNNNNNNNNNNNNNNNNNNNNNNNNNNNNNNNNNNNNNNNNNNNNNNNNNNNNNNNNNNNNNNNNNNNNNNNNNNNNNNNNNNNNNNNNNNNNNNNCCCCCAGUGGCUACCGGAAGUGUACUGUCAAGGCCAGUAACAGACCCGGAGCAAAGUUGGUUCCCUCCCCGCCCCGGUACUCCCUUCCCCCUCCUCCACCUGUCUCCCCUCCUCUACUGGCCCCCCCUCCCCACCUGUCCCCUCUGCUCCUCCUGCACCUGUCUUCCUCUCCUCUAUCAGCCCAGGCCCUCCUCCACCUGUCCCCUCUUCUCCACCUGUCUUCACUCCUCCUCCACCUGUCCCCUCUGCCCCUCCUCCACCUGUCCCCUCUUCUCCACCUGUCUUCACUCCUCCUCCACCUGUCCCCUCUUCUCCAUCUGUCCUCACUCCUCCACCUGUCCCCUCUUCUCCACCUGUCCCCUCUGCCCCUCCUCCACCUGUCACCACCCCUCCUCUGCCUCAGCAUCUCCAAGCUUCCUGGGUUCUUAUUUCUACCCCCUCUCCUCCUAAGACCUGCCAAGUCUUAGAGGGGAGGCUGCCUCUGGCCUGGACGCAUUGGCUCUUCUCAGACCCCCUGAUGUGGAAUGCAUUCGCGGUCUCCCUGAGUCACGGUCUCCCUCGCCAUUCCUGAACCUACUUGGUGGCCGUGACACGUCGGAAGGCGGCCUGUCCGUUAUCCCAGACCGGGACUGGCCAAGCCCCACUUGUAGCACAUUGGGUCCUUUUGAGGAGCAUCUACUGGUUCCUUUAACUCCGUGGGGGAGGAGACUGUACGCGGGCAUCCGACGGAAGCGCAGGUUGAUUUAGCAGGAGGCUGCUUGUGCCAAGUGUGGGGACGGAGGUCUGUACUCCGCAGUGACCUUUCUAGAAGCUUCUACUCGUUCCCCCUUUACACACGUGACAUUUUUCUCCAACAACCUGGGUCCCACAGAUCAGGGGUCAGCAAAGGUGUCCCGCAGAGGCCCAGAUGGUGAAUAUUUCUGGCUUUGUGGGCCACGUGGUCUGUGUAGCGACUGCCCGGCUCUGCCGUGGUCACUGAGAGCAGCCGGAAGCCCUGCGCACAGGAGCGGGUGGCCGCGCUCCAAUGAAACGUAUUCAGGAGCACGGAAGGUGGGGCGCAGGAGGCCGGUGGGUUGGGGAUCGGAUGUGCUCCACAGUGGCCCAUGGUGAGGAGGUGCUGGGGUCCUGAACACGGGGUGGCCCAUUGGAAAGAGCAGACGGCCAGGCACAGUACGCGGGGCCUCAGCCAGGGUGAAGGAUGCCCUUGGGGGACAGUCUGGCGGGAAGAAUCUGGAAGAGGGGGACAUUAGGAGUUAGGAAGUUCUGUCUCUGGUGGAGGGACUGAGGUGAGCGGAGGUUGGCCAGGGCAGGUCGGGGAAGGACACAGCCUUAGCGAGAUGCUAGGAGACCUCCGGUCAGCCUCGGGCGGCCCCUGGCCCUGUUGCCACGAGCCCGGGUUCUUAGAGAUGGGUGCUGUGUCAAGCACGGCUUCACAGAGCACACCCAGCAGUCCGCGUGGCCUUGGGUCCCUGGCUCAAGGCGGCAGACGGAAACGUCAGAGUGGAGAUGCCAGCCGGAAGAGAGGUGGCCGGUGCCUCGGAGAAGCGCAGGGCGGCCACCCAGUGCCUCCUGUUGGCCUCCAGGUUGCGGGUUUGGGAGGCCGGGGGGGUCGGUCCACGCUCCCGCCGCCACAAGUGACCAGGGCCCGGGUGAGAAGCUCCCGGAACAGCCGGGGCCUUGCUGUGUUCCCACCGAGGCUCUGGCCGGAUGAAAGCCCGUCAGGGCCCCAGGCCUGGUGUUGGGAGCCGCGAGCCAUCAGGACCCUCGGCCCCGACGGUGAGGUGUGUGUCUGGCGGUGCCAGCUGGGUCCCGCCGGUGCACGUGUGUCUCCUUGGCAGAUUCUUGGGGUACCAAGGAGUGAGUUUUCCAUCUCGGCCUUGAGGUGUUUGCAGCCCACGGGGAGCACGAGCUAGAGACACGGGGGCCCCAAGAGCCCUAGGUGCACACAGCAGGAUUCGGGGGUCAGGCGGGCGCAGGGCCCCCUGGGUGUGGUGGCUGGACUCAGCCUCCUGGCACCUCGCACAGCGUGUCUCUCCUGAGACCCCCUCCCCUCUCAGCAGACCCUGGGGAGCUACUCAGACUUGGGGCAAGCCUAGCGGCCAGCAGAGCAGCCAAGACCUGGGUGUCACAUGCCGCGUGGCCCGCUGGUGACAAAGCCCUCCUGAGGGACAGAGGUCAUGCUCUGCGCCCCUGCCCCAGGCCAGCGUAGGGGAGGAGCCGGGAGAGGUCUUGCAAAUCAAGUCCACCUGACGGCCAGGCAGCGGCUCCAGGGAGGGAUGGAGACAGGGAGCGGGGACACCUUUGUGUGAUGGAAUUGUCACAUAGAUUAAGCUGGCGUUCGGCAGAAAAGAGGGCUGUCGGCCUCUUCUGUCCCAGGCCCCCAGCCACCCCACUGCCCUCGAGGGCCGUCCAGUGCUCCGAGGACGCGGAUCUGCCCCUGUGCCUUGCUUUGAGUUCAGACGAAGCUUGCUGGAUCCUCCUGACCCUCUGGGGGUGGCCCUUCCCCUCCCUCCUCCUCCCUCCUUCUGGGGAGCCGGGGCUGUGUGGGGUUAGGGUUAGGUGUGUGGGGAGGCAGGCUCUGGCAGGGACAACUGUGCGCGCCCUGAUGAUGACGUCAGCACGACCCUCCUCUGUGGCGAAGUCUGGCAGUUCCCAGCCACGCCCCAGGGCAAGGGGUUCAGUCCUGACCUGGGAUCCCACUGGCUGCCAGGAUCCCACUGACCGGAUCCCACUGGCCGGUCACAUCACUGGGUCUGACGCGCCCCCGGAAAGUUGGCACCAGGGGCCUGGACCCAGCUGGCCUCGCUGGUCAGGGCCAGAUUUUCCAGGAGCCUGGUUUCCAGGGUCAGGGGCAAUCCCCAAACCUGCUGGGGUGCAGAAAAGCUCCUCCAGGCCUCCUGCCUGGCCCUGUGCUCCCGGCCUCUGCCUGGAGCCCCUGGACAGACCCGCUGGCUCCCCACGUCCCCCUCGUGACGGAGCCGUGGGGGUUUCAUUCUCCCCGUCCCGUCGAUCCUUGGAGGGCCCCGUGACGUGGUGCUGUCCCGGCCGUGAGAGCCACGGCCACGGCCAGCACCCAGGUCUCCCUCGAGAAGCUUGUCCCUGCCUUGUUCCUCUGCCGUAAGAUGCGGAUGGAGGUGUCCCAUCCGUCCUGUCCAGGGAAGAAACCAGCCCAAACCCUGAGCUGGGGGGUGGGGGUUGUCCUCCUUGUCAAGCCCCGGUGCUGAGCUCUCUGACUCACCGCCCUGUCACCCCAGGUGGCCUGUGAGUACGGCAUGGUGCACGUGGUCUCCGAGUCAGGGGGCCCCAGAGGCAAGGACUACUGCAUUCUCUACAACCCUCAGUGGGCCCACCUGCCCCACGACCUGAGCAAAGCGGUGAGUACCCACUGGGGCGUCCCCUCUGGGGCCCUGCAGGCCCGGAGUGCUCUGGGGUGCCCCCUCCUGACUUGGGGUCCGGUCUGUGUUGCUGGCUGCCACCCUCCGCUCCCCAGCCUGCUGUCUGAGGGGACUGCUACAAGUCUUACCCUGCAGGGAACCAGCUGGAGGACAGAGGAAGGGCCUCAGCUGGGAAACCAACGUGGGGGGCCUGGUCACACUUGAGGGGCUGCUGGGGUCUCAGACGACCGUAGAGGGGCCCCAUCACCUCUCUGGGGCUUGGUUUCCUUGGUCAGAAACAAAAGGACGUUUGGGUGGUGUUGAGGCACAGCCCCUGCCGGGGGCGCUGGCCACCCCCCACGUGCUGGAUGGGCUUGUGGGUGAUUCUCACUGCCGAGGCCACGGCUCCCGCCUGCCCAGCCCGUGUUCCGUUUGCAGUGGAUGCUGGGAAGGUUUCUGGGGGCUUUUCUCUGAGCGCACGCCACCCCCUGCCCCUUCCGUUGGCCUCGCGCUCAGCCGUGUGGACGUGUGUGUGUGUGUGUGUGUGUGUGUGUGUGUGUGUGCGGCCCCCCACUGACUUUUCUAGAUCAGGUGGUGUCAACGCCCCCUUCCCCAGUCCCUCCUGCAGCUGCGGGACUGGACGGCCUCUGUGCUCU
Molecule: long non-coding RNA, 8738 nt
Filed under: Lynx pardinus (Iberian lynx)
Lineage: Eukaryota; Metazoa; Chordata; Mammalia; Carnivora; Felidae
Source: RNAcentral